UUUCUUGUCAAAUCAAUCUCCCCCACAGUUGUACAAUUUGAUUACAACUUAUUGUCUUGUACGUAUUGCUGUUGGGUUGGUUUGCCUUUUACCUAUUGUCUCACCAUGUUGAUGUUCUCCUUCCCUUCCCUAGUUAUGAUAAAUGUAU
This is a long non-coding RNA of Perognathus longimembris pacificus (Pacific pocket mouse), 148 nucleotides long. RefSeq lists it as uncharacterized. Lineage: Eukaryota; Metazoa; Chordata; Mammalia; Rodentia; Heteromyidae. The record is from RefSeq and is a predicted model, not a curated record. The transcript has 3 exons.